AUUGAACGCUGGCGGCAGGCCUAACACAUGCAAGUCGAGCGAAUGAAGGGAGCUUGCUCUUGGAUUUAGCGGCGGACGGGUGAGUAAUGUAUAGGGAGCUGCCCGAUAGAGGGGGAUACCAGUUGGAAACGACUGUUAAUACCGCAUAAUGUCUACGGACCAAAGUGUGGGACCUUCGGGCCACAUGCUAUCGGAUGCACCUAUAUGGGAUUAGCUAGUUGGUGGGGUAACGGCUCACCAAGGCGACGAUCCCUAGCUGGUUUGAGAGGAUGAUCAGCCACACUGGAACUGAGACACGGUCCAGACUCCUACGGGAGGCAGCAGUGGGGAAUAUUGGACAAUGGGCGCAAGCCUGAUCCAGCCAUGCCGCGUGUGUGAAGAAGGCCUUCGGGUUGUAAAGCACUUUCAGCGAGGAGGAAGGGUGUUGUGUUAAUAGCACAGCAUUUUGACGUUACUCGCAGAAGAAGCACCGGCUAACUCCGUG
This 484-nucleotide ribosomal RNA is filed under the name uncultured organism. RNAcentral's name for it is "bacterial SSU rRNA". It matches the Rfam family "Bacterial small subunit ribosomal RNA", at positions 30 to 507 of the family's 1533-position model. The record is from RNAcentral.